AAUGCAUCUACAUUCAACACUCCUCUUUUAACAAUACAGAGAAGGUCGCCAUGGCCCUUGCGCAAGGAUGACAUGCAAAUUUGUAAAGCGUUCCUCAUUUAA
This 102-nucleotide small nuclear RNA is filed under the name Kryptolebias marmoratus (mangrove rivulus). The record is from RNAcentral. Lineage: Eukaryota; Metazoa; Chordata; Actinopteri; Cyprinodontiformes; Rivulidae.